Molecule: ribosomal RNA, 460 nt
Filed under: uncultured bacterium
Lineage: Bacteria
Description: partial 16S ribosomal RNA
Rfam family: Bacterial small subunit ribosomal RNA
Source: RNAcentral
CCUACGGGAGGCAGCAGUGAGGAAUAUUGGUCAAUGGACGAGAGUCUGAACCAGCCAAGUAGCGUGAAGGAUGACUGCCCUAUGGGUUGUAAACUUCUUUUAUAUGGGAAUAAAACGUUCCACGUGUGGGAUUUUGUAUGUACCAUAUGAAUAAGGAUCGGCUAACUCCGGGCCAGCAGCCGCGGUAAUACGGAGGAUCCGAGCGUUAUCCGGAUUUAUUGGGUUUAAAGGGAGCGUAGGUGGAUUGUUAAGUCAGUUGUGAAAGUUUGCGGCUCAACCGUAAAAUUGCAGUUGAAACUGGCAGUCUUGAGUACAGUAGAGGUGGGCGGAAUUCGUGGUGUAGCGGUGAAAUGCUUAGAUAUCACGAAGAACUCCGAUUGCGAAGGCAGUUCACUGGACUGCAACUGACACUGAGGCUCGAAAGUGUGGGUAUCAAACAGGAUUAGAUACCCCGGUAGUC